UUGUUUCUUCCUGACUCAGGACGAAGGCGGGGUGCUUCAUAAACACAUGCAAGUCGAAAGGAAAGGCCUUUCUUGCAGGGUACUCGAGUGGCGAACGGGUGAGUAACACGUGGGUGAUCUGCCCUUCACUUCGGGAUAAGCCUGGGAAACUGGGUCUAAUACCGGAUAGGACCAUCGUUUAGUGUGGGUGGUGGAAAGUUUUUCGGUGCAGGAUGAGCUCGCGGCCUAUCAGCUUGUUGGUGGGGUAAUGGCCUACCAAGGCGUCGACGGGUAGCCGGCCUGAGAGGGUGGACGGCCACAUUGGGACUGAGACACGGCCCAGACUCCUACGGGAGGCAGCAGUGGGGAAUAUUGCACAAUGGGCGCAAGCCUGAUGCAGCGACGCCGCGUGGGGGAUGAAGGCCUUCGGGUUGUAAACUCCUUUCA
Molecule: ribosomal RNA, 426 nt
Filed under: uncultured Corynebacterium sp.
Lineage: Bacteria; Bacillati; Actinomycetota; Actinomycetes; Mycobacteriales; Corynebacteriaceae
Description: bacterial SSU rRNA
Rfam family: Bacterial small subunit ribosomal RNA
Source: RNAcentral